UGGUGGCUCAGUGGUAGAAUUCUUGCCUUCCAUGCAGGAAACCAGGGUUCAAUUCCCAGCUA
RNAcentral lists this transfer RNA (62 nucleotides) under Loxodonta africana (African savanna elephant). It matches the Rfam family "tRNA", at positions 5 to 66 of the family's 71-position model. Rfam says of the family: Transfer RNA (tRNA) molecules are approximately 80 nucleotides in length. Their secondary structure includes four short double-helical elements and three loops (D, anti-codon, and T loops). The record is from Rfam by way of RNAcentral. Lineage: Eukaryota; Metazoa; Chordata; Mammalia; Proboscidea; Elephantidae.